GCUGCGAGCGAGUUAUAGGAAACGAAGAAGAAAGGGGAGAAAGAGUGAGAGACAAAGAAUAGGUCGAUGUCGCACAGGACAACCAGAAAGCUCUGCGAUAAUGGCUCAUGAAGUUCGACAAAUCUUUUCUUUGUUUGCAUAUCGUUUAUGGUGAUUUUCUUUUUAGCAGAUGGUGGCAGUGAGGAUGAUUUUUUUUUUUUUUUUACAUAUGCAAAGCUAUAAAAAGAUUGACGCAAAACAAAAACAUUGAACACUAAAAAAUCAAUGAUGUUUGUAGUUGCUAUGCUUUCAAACUUUCUCAAAGUCUACACACUACACUGUUUGUAGUUCCUUUCACUUUCUGGGUUAUUUUUUUUCUUGAAUAAAAAUUGGAUUUUGAUUGUCAAAUAAAGUGGGAGGAUUUUGAUUUUCAGAGUGAGUAAAUGUGGGAAUGACGACGAUGGAGGUUGCAGAAGAGAGAGGGAGAUAGAUGAGAUAAAAGAUGAAGGAGAAGGCUAUGAUGAGAGAGAAGAUAGUAAAAAUACAGUUAUUCUAUACUUUGUUUUCAUGUUACACCUUGAUAUCACCUCUGUCG
RNAcentral lists this long non-coding RNA (574 nucleotides) under Glycine max (soybean). Its description in RNAcentral is "long non-coding RNA (GMAX_LNC000289)". The record is from RNAcentral. Lineage: Eukaryota; Viridiplantae; Streptophyta; Magnoliopsida; Fabales; Fabaceae.